Molecule: ribosomal RNA, 496 nt
Filed under: uncultured bacterium
Lineage: Bacteria
Description: partial 16S ribosomal RNA
Rfam family: Bacterial small subunit ribosomal RNA
Source: RNAcentral
GAUGAACGCUGGCGGCGUGCCUAAUACAUGCAAGUCGAGCGAACAGACGAGGAGCUUGCUCCUCUGACGUUAGCGGCGGACGGGUGAGUAACACGUGGAUAACCUACCUAUAAGACUGGGAUAACUUCGGGAAACCGGAGCUAAUACCGGAUAAUAUAUUGAACCGCAUGGUUCAAUAGUGAAAGACGGUUUUGCUGUCACUUAUAGAUGGAUCCGCGCCGCAUUAGCUAGUUGGUAAGGUAACGGCUUACCAAGGCAACGAUGCGUAGCCGACCUGAGAGGGUGAUCGGCCACACUGGAACUGAGACACGGUCCAGACUCCUACGGGAGGCAGCAGUAGGGAAUCUUCCGCAAUGGGCGAAAGCCUGACGGAGCAACGCCGCGUGAGUGAUGAAGGUCUUCGGAUCGUAAAACUCUGUUAUUAGGGAAGAACAAAUGUGUAAGUAACUAUGCACGUCUUGACGGUACCUAAUCAGAAAGCCAUGGCUAACUACGU